GCCUGGAUGGCUCAGUUGGUUAAGCAUCUGACUUCCGCUCAGGUCACUAUCUCAUAGUUCGUGGGUUCAAGGCCCACGUCAGGCU
RNAcentral lists this transfer RNA (85 nucleotides) under Felis catus (domestic cat). It matches the Rfam family "tRNA". From Rfam's summary of the family: Transfer RNA (tRNA) molecules are approximately 80 nucleotides in length. Their secondary structure includes four short double-helical elements and three loops (D, anti-codon, and T loops). Lineage: Eukaryota; Metazoa; Chordata; Mammalia; Carnivora; Felidae. The record is from Rfam by way of RNAcentral.